AAAACGUCUGCUGAAGAAGGAACAGUCUCUUCACUCAGCAGGUCGGCCAGAAUGCGACCUCCCUAGUCAGCCAAGGCAGCACCCCAGUGGAGAGCUGUCCCUCAGGCCCCCUGGGUUGCACUUCUGUGGCUAAGUACCAGCAAACCACAUGUGAUGCUGGAUAGACUCGGCCUUAGUGACCACCGAGCUCUCGACAUGCUGUGAAAACCUGGGCUCUUGCCUACCAGCGUUCUUGGUCCUGACAUUUGCUUCUGAAAUUCCAACCCAGAAAAAGCCCUGUGUCCCUUUCCCCGACUCUUUUCCUCCGGAGGUGGUGGGGGAAUGAAAUAAGUGCUGCUUAUUUGGGAGGUUGGGAGCCAGCCUGAGUGUUUGGGGUACUUGCAAUUAGCACUGUUCUCAGAUCACAGGCCUUGACAGCAUUUACUGACAAGCACUGCUAGUGCGUGGUUUUAGUUACGGUAAUUAUUUGCCCAUUUGCAACUCAUCACGCAGUGGGUGAUUACUCUGUGCUUCAGAAAAUUGGCUGUAUGUUUGUUUUGUGAAGCCUAUGGAAUCUGUUAUUUUUAGUUCGAUUUAGCACAACUGGUCUCUUCAAAUUCCACUUUCCCUUGGCUUCAAAUGUAGAGAACUCAGCAUUCAGCAGGCAACUGUGCAGAGCCCGUUUGGGGGAAGAAUGGAAAUUCACUGCGGCGGCUGCUGAGUCGGUUCUUUU
RNAcentral lists this long non-coding RNA (712 nucleotides) under Bos taurus (domestic cattle). RNAcentral's name for it is "long non-coding RNA NONBTAT018990". Lineage: Eukaryota; Metazoa; Chordata; Mammalia; Artiodactyla; Bovidae. The record is from RNAcentral.